CCAGAAGUAGAUAGCUUAACCUUCGGGAGGGCGUUUACCACGGUGUGGUUCAUGACUGGGGUGAAGUCGUAACAAGGUAGCCCUAGGGGAACCUGGGGCUGGAUCACCUCCUUA
RNAcentral lists this ribosomal RNA (114 nucleotides) under Photobacterium iliopiscarium. RNAcentral describes it as "partial 16S ribosomal RNA". It matches the Rfam family "Bacterial small subunit ribosomal RNA", at positions 1420 to 1533 of the family's 1533-position model. Lineage: Bacteria; Pseudomonadati; Pseudomonadota; Gammaproteobacteria; Vibrionales; Vibrionaceae. RNAcentral also lists the same sequence under 2 other names. The record is from RNAcentral.